UCUCCGUUGGUGAACCAGCGGAGGGAUCAUUACCGAGUUUACAACUCCCAAACCCAAUGUGAACGUUACCAAACUGUUGCCUCGGCGGGGUCACGCCCCGGGUGCGUCGCAGCCCCGGAACCAGGCGCCCGCCGGAGGAACCAACCAAGCUCUUUCUGUAGUCCCCUCGCGGACGUUAUUUCUUACAGCUCUGAGCAAAAAUUCAAAAUGAAUCAAAACUUUCAACAACGGAUCUCUUGGUUCUG
Molecule: unclassified non-coding RNA, 245 nt
Filed under: plant metagenome
Description: partial contains small subunit ribosomal RNA, internal transcribed spacer 1, and 5.8S ribosomal RNA
Source: RNAcentral